GACCUUCCAAUUCUUACCACAGGCUGUGUUCUUUACACAGACUGUAUAGAAAGAGGAGGUACAGUAAAUGUAUCAGUACUGUUAAUAAUGAUUUGUUUUUAAAUCUUUACUGUCUUGACAGUGAAACCAAAA
Molecule: small nucleolar RNA, 132 nt
Organism: Suncus etruscus (white-toothed pygmy shrew)
Lineage: Eukaryota; Metazoa; Chordata; Mammalia; Eulipotyphla; Soricidae
Product: small nucleolar RNA SNORA51
Exons: 1
Source: RefSeq, a predicted model, not a curated record